This 408-nucleotide ribosomal RNA is filed under the name uncultured bacterium. Its description in RNAcentral is "partial 16S ribosomal RNA". It matches the Rfam family "Bacterial small subunit ribosomal RNA", at positions 29 to 526 of the family's 1533-position model. The record is from RNAcentral.
AGUGAACGCUGGCGGCGUGCCUAAUACAUGCAAGUCGAACGGAGUGGCGCACGGUUGAGUAAUGUAUAGCUAAUCUUCCCUAACCUAGAGGACAACAGUUGGAAACGGCUGGUAAUACUCUCUAGUGUAGGCUGUGGCUAUAUUGUAUCAUCUAGUUGGUGAGGUAAUGGCUAACAAAGGCGAUGACGCAUAACUGGUCUGAGAGGAUGAUCAGUCACACUGGAAGGGUGACACAGUUCAGACUCCUCCGGGAGGCGGCAGUAGGGGAUAUUGCACAAUGGGGGGAACCAUGAAGCAGCACGGCCGCGUGAAGGAUGUCACUUUUCGGGGCGUAAACUCCUUUUGUUGGGGAAACGGUACCUAACGAAUAAGCACCGGCUAACUCCGUGCCAGCCGCCGCGGUAAUUC